UACGGAGGGGGCAAGUGUUGUUCGGAAUUACUGGGCGUAAAGGGCGCGCAGGCGGCUUGGCAAGUCGAGGGUGAAAUACCUCAGCUUAACUGAGGAAUGGCGCUCGAAACUACCUCGCUUGAGGGCGGGAGAGGGAAGUGGAACUCUCGGUGUAGGGGUGAAAUCUGUAGAUAUCGAGAGGAACACCGGUGGCGAAGGCGGCUUCCUGGCCCGUACCUGACGCUGAGGCGCGAAAGCGUGGGGAGCAAACAGG
RNAcentral lists this ribosomal RNA (253 nucleotides) under uncultured bacterium. RNAcentral describes it as "partial 16S ribosomal RNA". It matches the Rfam family "Bacterial small subunit ribosomal RNA", at positions 524 to 776 of the family's 1533-position model. The record is from RNAcentral.